GCUGCCUUUGAUCAGAAGCUCAAUAUUUCCACUUCAAAAAAACUGCUUAAUAUUUUUUUUUUCAUUGCAAAAAGACUUAGCUAAGGACAUCCUGGCUGAAAAAGGUCAGCUUCAUCAGAAUGAACAUUUCAACUUGUAGUGGUGGCUGCUCUGAUUUGUUUUUGCCUCAUUGGCCUAUGUGGAGGAAUGUGCUCUACUAGAGAGGGGAUUGAAGUAUGGUUUUCUAGAUGAAUUAUUCCCAGGACAAUGAUGUCAAUUCUAAAACUGAGAGAGAGAAUCUUUUAUGUCAAGAGAUGCUUUUUACAUAGAUUCAAAGUGUUAACUUGACAGGGCAUGCAGCACCAGUGGAAGACCCUAAGUAGGAG
Molecule: non-coding RNA, 365 nt
Organism: Pelobates cultripes (western spadefoot toad)
Lineage: Eukaryota; Metazoa; Chordata; Amphibia; Anura; Pelobatidae
Source: the annotation of a GenBank genome assembly